AAAUGCGGUAAGUAGUGUGAAUUGCAGAAUUCAGUGAAUCAUCGAAUCUUUGAACGCACAUUGCGCCCCUUGGUAUUCCAUGGGGCAUGCCUGUUCGAGCGUCAUUUGUACCCUCAAGCUCUGCUUGGUGUUGGGUGUUUGUCCCCGUCUCCGCGCGUGGACUCGCCCCAAAGUGAUUGGCAGCCGGCGUACUGGUCCCGGAGCGCAGCACAUGUCGCGCAAACGAGUGCCUUGGUACGGCGGCGUCCAUAAGCCCCUCUCUCACGCUCUUGACCUCGGAUCAGGUAGGGAUACCCGCUGAACUUAAGC
This 309-nucleotide unclassified non-coding RNA is filed under the name plant metagenome. RNAcentral describes it as "partial contains 5.8S ribosomal RNA, internal transcribed spacer 2, and large subunit ribosomal RNA". The stretch from base 1 to 104 matches the Rfam family "5.8S ribosomal RNA", at positions 51 to 154 of the family's 154-position model. The record is from RNAcentral.